This 397-nucleotide ribosomal RNA is filed under the name Botuliformidae sp. Its description in RNAcentral is "partial small subunit ribosomal RNA". It matches the Rfam family "Eukaryotic small subunit ribosomal RNA", at positions 582 to 975 of the family's 1831-position model. Lineage: Eukaryota; Cercozoa; Thecofilosea. The record is from RNAcentral.
AUUCCAGCUCCAAUAGCGUAUAUUAAAGUUGUUGCAGUUAAAAAGCUCGUAGUUGGAUUUCUGGUUUGAUGCCCUGGCCCGCUUCAAAUUUUGGAGUGUGUGCCGGCUGUGCGUCUGCCAUCCUUCUAGAAAACGUUCGUACCCUUCACUGGGCCGCGUUCGAGAUCUAGAUCUUUUACUUUGAAAAAAUUAGAGUGUUUAAAGCAGGCAGUUGCUAUGAAUACAUUAGCAUGGAAUAAUAAUCUAGGACUUCGGUUCUAUUUUGUUGGUUUCUAGUACUGAAGUAAUGAUUGAUAGGGAUAGUUGGGGGCAUUAGUAUUUAUUAGCUAGAGGUGGAAUUCUCUAAUUUGAUAAAGACUAACUUAUGCGAAAGCAUUUGCCAAGGAUGUUUUCAUUG